UCUCCGUAGGUGAACCUGCGGAGGGAUCAUUACCGAGUGCGGGCCUCCGUGCCCAACCUCCCAACCCUUUGUUAAUGAAUACCUGUUGCCUCGGGGGGCGACCCGGACCUCGCGCCGGGGGUCCCCCAGAGGUCCAUCAAACACUGCGUCUUUGCGUCGGAGUAUUGAAAUCAAUCAAUCAAAACUUUCAACAACGGAUCUCUUGGUUCUGGCAUCGAUGAAGAACGCAGC
This 231-nucleotide unclassified non-coding RNA is filed under the name uncultured fungus. RNAcentral describes it as "sequence contains ITS1, 5.8S rRNA gene". The stretch from base 183 to 231 matches the Rfam family "5.8S ribosomal RNA", at positions 1 to 49 of the family's 154-position model. Lineage: Eukaryota; Fungi. The record is from RNAcentral.